AACGAACGCUGGCGGCAGGCCUAACACAUGCAAGUCGAGCGAGGACUUCGGUUCUAGCGGCGGACGGGUGAGUAACGCGUGGGAAUGUGCCCUUCUCUACGGAAUAGCCCUGGGAAACUUGGAGUAAUACCGUAUACGCUCUUUUGGGGUAAGAUCUAUCGGGGAAGGAUCAGCGCGCGUUGGAUUAGGUAGUUGGUGGGGUAAUGGCCUACCAAGCCGACGAUCCAUAGCUGGUUUGAGAGGAUGCUCCGCCACACUGGGACUGAGACACGGCCCAGACCCCGACGGGAGGCAGCAGUGGGGAAUAUUAGACAAUGAGGGCAAACCUGAUCUAGCCAUGCGGGGUGAGUGAGGAAGGCCUUAGGAUUGUAAAGCUCUCUCAGCUGGGAAGAUAAUGACGGUAACAGCAGAAGAAGCCCCGGCUAACUCCGUG
This 433-nucleotide ribosomal RNA is filed under the name uncultured bacterium. RNAcentral describes it as "partial 16S ribosomal RNA". It matches the Rfam family "Bacterial small subunit ribosomal RNA", at positions 29 to 507 of the family's 1533-position model. The record is from RNAcentral.